Molecule: long non-coding RNA, 598 nt
Filed under: Canis lupus familiaris (dog)
Lineage: Eukaryota; Metazoa; Chordata; Mammalia; Carnivora; Canidae
Description: lncRNA (ENSCAFG00845022549.1)
Source: RNAcentral
GGCUCCCAUGGUACUUAAAACAGUUCACGCUUGGAACAUUCAGCCCAUGGUUCAUUGUACAACUUUCUGAUAACACGCAGUGGCCAGACUUCUGCUUCUCGACCAUAGAAACCUAUCCCUCAAGGUCCAGAACCAAGCAGUCUCCUCUCCUGACCAGCCUCUAUUUUCCAUCAAAAUCUCUGCCCACACCCUUCAAUUUUUGAACUAGGAGGCUGUGAUAGGACCAUAGAAGCUUUGAAUAUAAACACAUCUACUUGUAUGAUUUAUCAGCUGCGGGGAAAAAAUGAAGACUCCUUUAGUAUUUGGAUCAGAAUCCACCAAAGUAUUUAUUUCAAACAGGCGUAAAUGGAGGAAGCUAAUACCAGUGACUGACCUCCAGGAAAUUGAUCCCCCACUGACAGUGACUGCUAGCAAGCUCUGCCUCUCUGGAGGGAGGCAGAGUGGAAAUGCCCCGCAGCUCUGGCUCCUGGGCGGCUCACGGCAGGCACAGGUGAGGCCUGGGAUCUGGACGGCUGGCGAUGGUGUGGUGGAGGAGAGCCCUGGGUGCAGGUGAGUGUCUGGACCCAUAGGACUUCUUCCCACGGGAACAAAGAAGCCC